Long non-coding RNA from Mauremys mutica (yellowpond turtle), 400 nucleotides. RefSeq lists it as uncharacterized. The transcript has 3 exons. NCBI's taxonomy places the organism in Eukaryota, Metazoa, Chordata, Testudines, Geoemydidae. The record is from RefSeq and is a predicted model, not a curated record.
UGUGUGAUUCUGGAGAGUUGGGCCGAAAAACAGCAGCAGCAUUUUCAAGUAAGGUGUGUUUAGAUUUGCUGAUUUGCUGGAACAUAAGAAUUCUAGAUUGCAGCAUCCAUCCGUGGAUCUGAAACCACAUUACCGAGCAGAGUGAAUUUAGCUAUGCAGUCACUGUGAGGAAGAUGAUGUGGCAGUAAAGAUCCCUGCUUAUGCCUGGGUGAACUCUGGUCCUGAGCAGAAGCCUGACCUCUGAUACCUGUUCCACCAUGAACCUGUUUCAUCCUCUGUGGAGUGCUGCAGCAGCUGUUCUUGUCAAUGCCCAGCAAACUCCCACGACUCCUGAGCUCUUCCUGGGAACUUGGAAACUCGUCUCCAGUGAAAACUUUGAGGAAUACAUGAAAGAACUGGG